UAACACAUGCAAGUCGAGCGGAUGACGGGAGCUUGCUCCUUGAUUCAGCGGCGGACGGGUGAGUAAUGCCUAGGAAUCUGCCUGGUAGUGGGGGACAACGUGUCGAAAGGAACGCUAAUACCGCAUACGUCCUACGGGAGAAAGCAGGGGACCUUCGGGCCUUGCGCUAUCAGAUGAGCCUAGGUCGGAUUAGCUAGUUGGUGGGGUAAUGGCUCACCAAGGCGACGAUCCGUAACUGGUCUGAGAGGAUGAUCAGUCACACUGGAACUGAGACACGGUCCAGACUCCUACGGGAGGCAGCAGUGGGGAAUAUUGGACAAUGGGCGAAAGCCUGAUCCAGCCAUGCCGCGUGUGUGAAGAAGGUCUUCGGAUUGUAAAGCACUUUAAGUUGGGAGGAAGGGCAGUAAGUUAAUACCUUGCUGUUUUGACGUUACCGACAGAAUAAGCACCGGCUAACUCUGUGCCAGCAG
This 470-nucleotide ribosomal RNA is filed under the name uncultured Pseudomonas sp. RNAcentral's name for it is "bacterial SSU rRNA". It matches the Rfam family "Bacterial small subunit ribosomal RNA", at positions 49 to 514 of the family's 1533-position model. The record is from RNAcentral. Lineage: Bacteria; Pseudomonadati; Pseudomonadota; Gammaproteobacteria; Pseudomonadales; Pseudomonadaceae.